GAGUGAAGAAGGUUUUCGGAUCGUAAAACUCUGUUGUAAGGGAAGAACACGUACGAGAGUAACUGCUCGUACCUUGACGGUACCUUAUUAGAAAGCCACGGCUAACUACGUGCCAGCAGCCGCGGUAAUACGUAGGUGGCAAGCGUUGUCCGGAAUUAUUGGGCGUAAAGCGCGCGCAGGCGGUUCUUUAAGUCUGAUGUGAAAGCCCACGGCUCAACCGUGGAGGGUCAUUGGAAACUGGAGAACUUGAGUACAGAAGAGGAAAGCGGAAUUCCACGUGUAGCGGUGAAAUGCGUAGAGAUGUGGAGGAACACCAGUGGCGAAGGCGGCUUUCUGGUCUGUAACUGACGCUGAGGCGCGAAAGCGUGGGGAGCAAACAGGAUUAGAUACCCUGGUAGUCCACGCCGUAAA
This 411-nucleotide ribosomal RNA is filed under the name bacterium a9(2011). Its description in RNAcentral is "SSU rRNA". It matches the Rfam family "Bacterial small subunit ribosomal RNA", at positions 401 to 806 of the family's 1533-position model. The record is from RNAcentral.